Marmota marmota marmota (Alpine marmot) is the source of this 120-nucleotide ribosomal RNA. Lineage: Eukaryota; Metazoa; Chordata; Mammalia; Rodentia; Sciuridae. The record is from Ensembl.
UCAGAAAAUGAUACCACCCUGAACGCGCCCGAUCCUGUCUGAUCUCGGAAGCUAAGCAGGGUAGGGCCUGGUUAGUACUUGGAUGGGAGAAAAUGAUACUCCAAAGUAUGGCACUUUGGC